Molecule: long non-coding RNA, 5368 nt
Organism: Lolium perenne
Lineage: Eukaryota; Viridiplantae; Streptophyta; Magnoliopsida; Poales; Poaceae
Source: RefSeq, a predicted model, not a curated record
GAGAGAAGAGACCAGCAAAGAAAUAUCGGGAGGCCACCAGCCAAACCCUAUCCUCUUCCCCUCGCAGCCGCCUCUCGCCUUCUCUCCUCCCCUCACGCCUCCAUGGCCGCCGCCGGGCGUCCUCACGCCUCCAGCCGCGCCCUCCCCUGCGCCUCUCCGCCGCCGGUCUCCUUUCCGAUCCCGCACGUCUCCUCUCUCCAAUCGCCGCCGGCUCACCCAUCCCUGCUCCUCUCCAUCGCGCUUGGCUCCGUCGAGGCCGCCGCUACUCCUCCUCUCCACCCUCUUCUUCGCGCGACCUCCGACGCAUCUCACUCCUUCCCCGGCUUGUCUUCGUCGUCGAUCUCCAUGUCUUCGACCCCGAGCAAGUCCGAGAAACCGCCACGGAUCACCAAGGAGGAAUGCAUCCUCGUGUUCUCCGGCGCCGAUGCCGCUGGGAGGGCCCCUCGAUGCCAGCAAAGAUGGGGAAGUCGCCCUGCUAGGAGGGGCUUAGCCAUGGCGAGCGCACCGACCUCAGCGGCGCGAUAAACAUACAGGUUGAAGAACACAAAGUAGAGUUUCCUCGAUUUCUACUUACUGCAUCAGCCAUGAAAGAGGAUGCUUCACCUCCUCUCCCUCCUCAUGGCUCUGCAGCUGGAACCUGGACUGGUGCCAAUCUUCGCAUAGGCUCCAAGGGGAUCCCAAUCUUUGGACCUUUCCUAUCAAUUUCUACAUUUCUCUCUUGCAGCUGGUCACUCAUUAGCUGUGAAAAUUUUCAUGUCGUCUAACAGUCAUGCUUGAUGGAUUCAAAAAUUGAGCUCAGUUCUAACUAUGAAAGAGUUAUCAGAUCUCCAAGAAGUGACGAAUGGUAAAAAUUGGUCACUCAAUAUUUACCAGAUAUUGUUAGAAGAUCAAGCUGGAUAUUACUAGACUUCUAUUUUGGAAUUUUAGAUCUGUCCCAGAUGACAAUGGUUUAAUCAACUUGUGCACAUUUUGUGGUUCAUCAUGCCAUGGUUUCUAUCAUUUUGUAAGUUCCCUAUUGCAUGGGCAUUUCUUCAGGGAUGGUACAAAUGGCUAUAUUCAUGCAGUUCUUAUAUUACUGAGAUGCUUUGCAACAUAAAUUGGUCAUAUCAAAUAAUAUCUCCUACAAAACAUACGCUUUUUUACUAUGCUUUCUUCUACCAAGGAAACACUUGCGUAACAACUCAACUCAUGGUGAUUUUGCCUCUUGAAAAUCAUCUGCUCAAAGCUUGGCAAACAGUCAUAGCUGCAGCCGAUAGUCAGCACCAGGACGGCGGAACGACAAGCAAGCGCACCUCAACGAGCGUCAGUCACAUCCCUUGCCAUCACCACCGAAGAGAUGGAGAUGAAGACAACCAGCCAAGGCAUGAAACACACACUGAUUUCUAGACACCUUCAGUUAUUUCAGAUCUGGAUUGUUUUUAGUGAUGACCAAAUUCCACAAAUCAAAUCUGGAUUGUUUUUAGUGAUGCCCUUAUUCCACAAAUGAAGUAUGUUCCUCUGAUCCCCAAGUUUAUCAUUUUAACCUUCUCCUUAUUUAUCGCGAUGUCCCCUUAUUUUGUAAAGUACACUGUUGUAUGUUUGUCAGCCCGUGUUGUUGCAUUAGUUGAAUUUUACCAUAGUGGAUUAUGUUUCUCCAUCAAAAGGAUUAUAUAUUUUCCUCAGCUGGGUAUUAGUUCUGCUAUCCCUACUGUUCUGAAUCUUGAUUUCUGUAUAUUGUUAUCUACCUAUGUUCUGGGUAUUAGCAUCAAAUGUGUCGGUUCUGCUGCCAGUAGCAGCAGGUGAGCAUCAGGUGGGUCACUAGCGUUACUUGUUUGGUCGGAGAUGCCAUGGGGGAGAUGGCAGGGGCACGAGGAGGAGGGGUGAGUGGUCAUGGCCAGCAUUCGUCCACUGUCAGAGCAGGCGAAGGUGGAGCAAGGGUGGAGGUUGCAACAGUGCCUCAAGGAAACUCUAAAUGUAUUUGCUCACAAAAUAAUUCCUUUCUAUGUGAGUUGGAGGGCAGAUGUUUAUGCAUAACCUGGAAUAAUACCUAUUGCAGGCUAUUAUGUGUCAUCGACCUUCUCAUGCCCACCAUAAUAGAAAGUUUGACGUUAUCGUAUAAACACAAGUUCCUCCAUGUUGGAAGUAGCUUCAGGAAGGAUAACAUGUUUGCUGCUAAUUUUUCCCAUCUUUUGUACAUUGCUGGUCUGCUGCAACUUUAAUCAUUAUUUGGGUGCAUUCCAGGUUUGCUAGAGCUUCUUCAACGGUUAAAGGAAAAGCAGAAAGUUCAUGCCUUCUAAACUUGGUUCACAAAGAAUAGCAGGUUUGCUACCAAAUAUCAGAAAAUAAUUAACCUCUUCUUGAAUUACCAUCCGUAGAGGUAUUACCUGAAACCAGGGUAUUCAGAGAACACGUUAUAUAUUUGUGGACCAGUGUUCUGGUGAUACAAGGUAAAGGUAUUUUUCAGUAAUCCUUUCAGAGUAGCUAUUAUGCUUUUCUAAAAAGAUGCGAACAUCUAAAGCAUCUGUGUUUUAUAUAUUUCUUAGUUGCAAUCAUGCAUCAUCGUAUUUCAUUACCAUAGUAAUCAGGUUGUUGUUAAAUUUUUGUUACAUAAAUAUAUGGUAUAUAUACGGCCUAGCGCUCGCAGAUUUAUAAAUACAGAAUCUUUUUGUCGUGUUCAUGCUCUCAUCUUCUUCCAAGUUUGCCUGAAAAAUAGUCUCUGGUACCCAAUCUUGCCAAGAAGGUUUCAUAGAGGUGAGGUAUUUGACCUAAAGAUCUGAUUAUAUAUUUUUAUACGGUCCCCAGCGAGUAGCAAUGCAAGUUUUGUGAUUGCAUUUUUUCUAUAUUCCUAUGGAGUUAUACUUUAGUGGUGUCUGGCAGGGGCAAGCUGGAGCAUGUCUAUUCCUCUCCGACAGAAGGCAGCAUGCCUCCAAAGGGAAGACAACUUAUCUAAAUAAAAUAAUAUGAAGUCAACUUGGCAAAUAGGCAUAUAUUCUAUUUUAUGACUCCUUUCUCAUUAUCUUUCUAAUUGGUUUUUAACUGAUCUACUCUCCUCUUCUUUAACUGAUCUAGACCUCUGGCUUAUAGAUCACGAAAUAGCUUGAUAAAUUUGUGUUCUAUGUCCUCUUGCAUGAACUUCUUGUUUAUAUCCAAAGACUUAAUUUAUUCAUGUUUGUUGGCAUGUGCAUGCACUCUUCUUGCAGUUUCAGGUCCGCCUUGCAUAUGGGGUUAAUAUUGUGUGAUCUUUGACGCUUUCCGUAUCCUCUGCCAUCAUGCCAACUGACAAGGUCUCGAGCGUCUGACAAGAGGGAGAGGAGGAGCACAGCCGCGUUCUAGCUCGACGAUGAGAAAGCUCGAGGAUAAUAGAAGAUGAGCUUGUGUGCGCUGGACUCGCAGCUCUAUGUUCUUCCAUUUAGUUAUGAAUUCGUCUUCCUAAUGCCUUGAUUUUAUAUAUGGAGCAAGAGCAGCUUGCUGCUUUAGGUUCUGGUAGAAACAUCCAGUGAUAUUGUACUACUGCCAUAUAUAGAUGUAGUCUUUCUAUGCAUACUCGCAAAUUGGCCAUGCUAGGGGACAUCUCAACUCAGCCAAAUAGAAGAUGAUAGAUACGUACUUUGGCCCAAUUUUGUUUCAGAAUGGAUCUCUAUGAGAUCAGGACAGAGAUGACUCAACUGAAGAAAAUGGGAGAGUUGCUGGAAAUCUUAUAGAUCUGAAAGGUAAUAAUGCAUUUAAUUUUGGAAUGUAGUUAUGGAUUGGGGAAAGAUCUGCAUCUUAAUAGUACUAUUGAGUACUUGUAUGUGUGGUGGGCUGGUGGCCUUGUUGCUCUUAUCCAUGUGCUUUAUUGCUACUUAUUUUUUAUGUUUGAUAUGCAUAAAUUUUGUAUUCCAUUUAUAUUAGCUUCUGGUGGAUUCAGAUGUCUAAUGUAUCGAUAGAAUAUAUAUAUCAGCAUACCCUGACCGUCAGCACAUAUUUUGUUUUCCAUUUCUACUAGCUUCCGUGGUGUAAUUUCGAUUUUUGUGCUUCUGCAAAUUUGAUCACAUGUAUGUGAGGAAAAUUCCCUGAGUGGGACCUCCAUACUACUUUCAUCUUUCCUUUCCACCCUCCUCUUCCUUGCAUACCCUUGUUUUCAUAAACGAUUCAGAUCCAUAUUUUUUAGCAAGUGUAUCUAUUUGUUCCUUGCUAGGAAAAUGCAUAGGAGAAAUUAGGGUGGUAGGAAUCAUUAAUCAUGUAAUAUAUGUCUCAAUUAAACCCAAUCCUUAAAAUGAAUCAUAUGAAAUAAAACUUAUAGCAACUGCUCAAAAGGUCUCGGUCAAUGUUCAUUCCUAACAUUAUCCAUUGGUCAAGAGCAAACUGUGUCAUAUAUCACCAACAAUUGUGUGUUUAAACAUAUAUUUGUGAUAUUGCUGGAUAAAAAAGAUAGUGGAUGCUCAGCUGAUCAAUUGUAGGUACCAUGCAAGGACAUAAUAUAGAAGAUUGGCUAAAAUGUAGCGUGAAUACUCAAGAGCUACUAUAAUCUAUGCCUCAAUGUUGUGGCGUAUGAUGCAUGAACCUUCUAACUGAGCUUGCCUUCUUCUGCUACUGCAGUUUCUCCUUGGUGACCAUUUUCUUCCAUAUAGUAUAGUCGAAGUUCUCCAAUGAUGAGACAAUUUCAGGGGUGUGAAAGAUAUUAAGAACUCAUCCGUGUCAAGAUCUUUGUUUCGGGGUUCGCCUCCUCAGGUUGAAUCUGGAGAGGUAAUUAUUUACAUACUAGUGAGGAUCCGGUGGAACCAGUGGCAUCAUCUACCACAACUUCAACAGAUAAGAAGUAGCUUCUAUUCUGAAUCUGACUUGCAGAAAGCCCAUGCAGAUGGACAGACCAACAAGAAAACAUAUACUAGAAUUAGGCAUCAAAACUGAAAAGCUCUUAAAUCUUUUUACGUGCUGGCUUCGGAUAUUGUUGCAUAUUUCGGUAAGGGGUAGAUAGUAAAGAAAAUGUAGCAUCUUCUUUGACUAUAGCAAGAAAAUGCAAGAAGUGGAUGAUAAACAUGUGUUGGUGAUAUCAGGUAGAAAAAAAACUAUCUCAUUGUUGUUUGUUUGCCCUAUCUUCAACUUAGUUUUUGGCUGAUUCCUUCUUCCCUUUUCCACGAUUCCCAGCUUUUGGUGAUAUAAGUUGCAAGUAUCUGUUCUUCCUAUGUCUUUUGCGGGACCUGGACUAUGAAGAUCGUGUUGCUCCCUUCUGUAGUUGGCUGAUGCUGUUGUGCACCUCAUGUGGAUGCCACUUCUAUUGCUUCUUCAUGCUUGAUGUAGGUGUGUUACUUUCGCUUUGUCAUGUUAAUGGUAGUGUGGUUAAUUAUGUGUGGCUCUAGACUACCCCGCUUUCACCAGGAAACUGACAUUUGUAGACUCUUGGGUGAGU